Ochotona princeps (American pika) is the source of this 83-nucleotide non-coding RNA. The record is from Rfam. NCBI's taxonomy places the organism in Eukaryota, Metazoa, Chordata, Mammalia, Lagomorpha, Ochotonidae.
CUCCAUUCCAAACUCAUCUCAAACUUCAGCUAACAGUUUGAAGAUUCUCAAUACCAGAAUUUGGCAUUAACUUAAAAGGAAAA